This 798-nucleotide ribosomal RNA is filed under the name uncultured archaeon. Its description in RNAcentral is "bacterial SSU rRNA". It matches the Rfam family "Archaeal small subunit ribosomal RNA", at positions 1 to 760 of the family's 1478-position model. The record is from RNAcentral.
CGGGAAUUCGAUUUUCCGGUUGAUCCUGCCGGACCUUACUGCUAUCGGGGUGAGACUAAGCCAUGCAAGUCGCACGCAUCCUAGCUAUGGUGGGAGCGUGGCAUACGGCUCAGUAAAACAUGGUCAAUCUACCCUUAAGACGGAUAUAAACCCGGGAAACUGGGGUUAAUGGCCGAUAGAUGAGAACCGCUUGGAAUUAGCAUCUCGUCCAAAGGAUGUCAGAGCCAUGCUUUUGACAUUGCUUAAGGAUGAGACCAUGCCCGAUCAGGCAGUUGGUGAGGUAACGGCUCACCAAACCUAUAACCGGUACGGGCCGUGAGAGCGGAAGCCCGGAGAUGGGCCCUGAGACAAGGGCCCAGGCCCUACGGGGCGCAGCAGGCGCGAAAACUUCGCAAUGCGCGAAAGCGUGACGAGGUCACCCCGAGUGCCACCUGAUGAAGGUGGCUUUUCCCCGCGUAUAACAAGCCGGGGGAAUAAGGGGAGGGCAAGCCUGAUGUCAGCCGCCGCGGUAAUACCAGCUCCCCGAGUAGUGAGGACGAUUAUUGGGCCUAAAGCAUCCGUAGCCGGCCAAGUAGGUUUCUCGUUAAAUCUAGCGAUCCAAUCGUUAGGCUGCGGGAAAUACCGCUAGGCUAGGGGGCGGAAGAGGCCGACGGUACUCUUAGGGUAGGGGUGAAAUCCUAUAAUCCUGAGAGGACCACCAGUGGCGAAGGCGGUCGGCCAGAACGCGCCCGACGGUGAGGGAUGAAAGCUGGGGGAGCGAACCGGAUUAGAUACCCGGGUAGUCCCGGCUGUAAACGA